UACGUAGGUGGCAAGCGUUGUCCGGAUUUACUGGGCGUAAAGAGCGCGCAGGCGGUCAGAUAAGUCGAAUGUGAAAGCCCCCGGCUCAACUGGGGAGGGUCAUUCGAUACUGUUCGACUCGAAGGCAGGAGAGGGAAGUGGAAUUCCCGGUGUAGUGGUGAAAUGCGUAGAUAUCGGGAGGAACACCUGUGGCGAAAGCGGCUCACUGGACCAUUACUGACGCUGAUGCUCGAAAGCUAGGGGAGCAAACAGG
Molecule: ribosomal RNA, 253 nt
Filed under: uncultured bacterium
Lineage: Bacteria
Description: partial 16S ribosomal RNA
Rfam family: Bacterial small subunit ribosomal RNA
Source: RNAcentral